GUCUACGGCCAUACCACUCUGAACGCGCCCGAUCUCGUCUGAUCUCGGAAGCUAAGCAGUGUCGGGCCUGGUUAGUACUUGGAUCGGAGAAUCCUGGGGAUGGGGGAGCCUGGUGGGCUGCCGUCU
This 126-nucleotide ribosomal RNA is filed under the name Cervus hanglu yarkandensis (Yarkand deer). The record is from RNAcentral. Lineage: Eukaryota; Metazoa; Chordata; Mammalia; Artiodactyla; Cervidae.